UGGCGGCGUGCCUAAUACAUGCAAGUAGAACGCUGAAGGAAGGAGCUUGCUCUUUCCGGAUGAGUUGCGAACGGGUGAGUAACGCGUAGGUAACCUGCCUGGUAGCGGGGGAUAACUAUUGGAAACGAUAGCUAAUACCGCAUAACAGUAGAUAUCGCAUGAUAGCUGCUUAAAAGGUGCAAUUGCACCACUACCAGAUGGACCUGCGUUGUAUUAGCUAGUUGGUGAGGUAACGGCUCACCAAGGCAACGAUACAUAGCCGACCUGAGAGGGUGAUCGGCCACACUGGGACUGAGACACGGCCCAGACUCCUACGGGAGGCAGCAGUAGGGAAUCUUCGGCAAUGGACGGAAGUCUGACCGAGCAACGCCGCGUGAGUGAAGAAGGUUUUCGGAUCGUAAAGCUCUGUUGUAAGAGAAGAACGAGUGUGAGAGUGGAAAGUUCACACUGUGACGGUAUCUUACCAGAAAGGGACGGCUAACUACGUGCCAGCAGCCGCGGUAAUACGUAGGUCCCGAGCGUUGUCCGGAUUUAUUGGGCGUAAAGCGAGCGCAGGCGGUUAGAUAAGUCUGAAGUUAAAGGCUGUGGCUUAACCAUAGUACGCUUUGGAAACUGUUUAACUUGAGUGCAAGAGGGGAGAGUGGAAUUCCAUGUGUAGCGGUGAAAUGCGUAGAUAUAUGGAGGAACACCGGUGGCGAAAGCGGCUCUCUGGCUUGUAACUGACGCUGAGGCUCGAAAGCGUGGGGAGCAAACAGG
This 756-nucleotide ribosomal RNA is filed under the name uncultured Bacilli bacterium. RNAcentral describes it as "bacterial SSU rRNA". It matches the Rfam family "Bacterial small subunit ribosomal RNA", at positions 37 to 776 of the family's 1533-position model. The record is from RNAcentral. Lineage: Bacteria; Bacillati; Bacillota; Bacilli.